This 432-nucleotide ribosomal RNA is filed under the name uncultured bacterium. Its description in RNAcentral is "bacterial SSU rRNA". It matches the Rfam family "Bacterial small subunit ribosomal RNA", at positions 29 to 507 of the family's 1533-position model. The record is from RNAcentral.
AACGAACGCUGGCGGCAUGCCUAACACAUGCAAGUCGAACGAGACCUUCGGGUCUAGUGGCGCACGGGUGCGUAACGCGUGGGAAUCUGCCCUUGGGUUCGGAAUAACAGUUAGAAAUGACUGCUAAUACCGGAUGAUGUCUUCGGACCAAAGAUUUAUCGCCAAGGAUGAGCCCGCGUAGGAUUAGGUAGUUGGUGGGGUAAUGGCCCACCAAGCCGACGAUCCUUAGCUGGUCUGAGAGGAUGAUCAGCCACACUGGGACUGAGACACGGCCCAGACUCCUACGGGAGGCAGCAGUGGGGAAUAUUGGACAAUGGGCGAAAGCCUGAUCCAGCAAUGCCGCGUGAGUGAUGAAGGCCUUAGGGUUGUAAAGCCCUUUUACCAGGGAUGAUAAUGACAGUACCUGGAGAAUAAGCUCCGGCUAACUCCGUG